This 200-nucleotide ribosomal RNA is filed under the name uncultured eukaryote. RNAcentral describes it as "partial 18S ribosomal RNA". It matches the Rfam family "Eukaryotic small subunit ribosomal RNA", at positions 588 to 795 of the family's 1831-position model. The record is from RNAcentral.
GCUCCAAUAGCGUAUAUUAAAGUUGUUGCAGUUAAAAAGCUCGUAGUUGGAUUUGUGGCGUUCGCGUGCGGCCGGGCAUUCGUGCCUGUGCUUGCUAGCGUCGCCAUCCUUGGGUGGAACCAGUGUGGCAUUAAGUUGUCGUGCUGGGGAUGCCAUCGUUUACUGUGAAAAAAUUAGAGUGUUCAAAGCAGGCUUAUGCC